This is a non-coding RNA of Podarcis lilfordi (Lilford's wall lizard), 65 nucleotides long. The record is from the annotation of a GenBank genome assembly. NCBI's taxonomy places the organism in Eukaryota, Metazoa, Chordata, Lepidosauria, Squamata, Lacertidae.
GUGCUUAGUGGUAGAGCAUCUCCCUUGUAUGCAGAAAGUCCCUGGUUCAAUCCUCAGCAUCUCCA